This is a long non-coding RNA of Thalassophryne amazonica, 178 nucleotides long. RefSeq lists it as uncharacterized. The transcript has 3 exons. NCBI's taxonomy places the organism in Eukaryota, Metazoa, Chordata, Actinopteri, Batrachoidiformes, Batrachoididae. The record is from RefSeq and is a predicted model, not a curated record.
UAUUAUCUUGAAUGGGCUCAAAGGUGAUAAACUGUGCUCAGGAGUUUUUUCGUGUUCUUCAAUCUCUUCAAGAUGAGGAACUUAGGGAUUCAUGUAUAUUUGAGGACAUACGCAUACUAAAGAUAAGAUUCCUGUGCUGAAUUUGUACUGUGGCAACUAUCCAGUCUUCAUCUGUGAA